RNAcentral lists this ribosomal RNA (411 nucleotides) under Triticum aestivum (bread wheat). Its description in RNAcentral is "partial small subunit ribosomal RNA". Lineage: Eukaryota; Viridiplantae; Streptophyta; Magnoliopsida; Poales; Poaceae. The record is from RNAcentral.
AGCAAGCGGACGAAGGCAUACACGGCGGCCGAGGACAAGCUUCUUUGUGAGUGCUGGGGAGACAUUGGGCAAGACCCCAAGACGGGCGCCGAACAAAAGGCAUCAACCUUUUGGAUUCGUGUCCAUCGUGAGUUCCAUGAGCGCAAGAAGUUUCCGCCGUACCAAAUAAUAAGCACGCGCGGGUGGGUGUCCAUUUCGAAGCGGUGGAGGGUGAUCCAACAAGAGUGCAACAAGUUUUGUGCCACUCUUGAGAGCGUCAGGGCCCGGCUCAUAGCGGCAUUGGCAUGCAAGACAUGGUAUGCUAGCAAGCCGCCCUCUUUUGUGUCAUUUUGUUUAUGCUUGCGUGUCCAUUUCCAUACCAUUUGCCAAUAUGCUUGCAUGAAAUACAUUUGUAGGCAUUUCAAGCUUUAG